GAUGCUGCCUGGCCUGCUGUGUUCCUCCAGCUCCACACUGUUAUCUAUUACUGAAGCAGUAGUUCUGCAUGUCGGAAGGAGUCAGAGACUGAGAAUCCAGGAAUGUGGAUGAAGGCCCAGCGCAGUGGUAUUUUCCACAAGGACAGGCCAGGAGUGAAAGCAAUGCUCAUGAAAAUAGUACCAGUCAAUGAGCAAUGCAGCUGGUCAGCUCUUUGUGGUGGGUGAGGGAGUGAUAGCAGCUGUAGGCUUUGAGCACCCAAGGGCUGGCCGAGAGGGACAUCCUUCCGGUUGGAAAGUAGGUGCAUCGGUCCCUAGACAGUGACAUAGCAUGGAAGAGGGGAUAACUUGGGUGGGAGGGUCUUUGUGUUGGUUGCUUUGCCAAAGCAGCAGGAAGUAUAGGUGGAGACAAUGGAUGGAAAGCUGGUUUGCGUGGUGGUGAGGUUGCUUCUUGAACUCCACAGUCAUGUGAUGAGGGUGCUUCCUAACAAUGCUGUUGGGAAGGAAGUUCCAAGGUUCUGAUAAUGAAGGAAGGAACAAAAGACAAAAUCAGAUGGUGGGUGACUUAGUGACAGACCUCCCAUACACUGGUCACUCUCAUCCUUCUAGAUGAUGGUCACGUUUUCAAGGUGCUGCCAGGAUUUUGUCACAGGGCCAUAGAAUUGUUGCGGUACCAUUUAUACAGUACAGCAUAGGAACAGGCCUUUUGGUUCACCAAGCCUGCACUGAUUCUGAAUUUUUAUUUAGACCUGCUACUUAUGACCCAUGCACGGUUUCUAUCCUUCUGUUCACCUCCCAUUCAUAUGUCUAUCAAGAUAUGCCUUAAAUGUUGGUAGUGUUUCUAACACCUCCACUGACGGUGCAUUCCAGGCACCCAACGUCCACCAAGUGAAAAGUUUUCCCUGCACUUCUCCCCUCACCUCCCCCAUCGCCUUGAACCUGUGUCCUCUUCUAGUUGACCUUUCAAGACCACCAGCAUUUUCCUCCAGGUCAUUUUAAAAAAAAAAGACAAGCAACAAAGGCCCCAGCACUGAUCCCUGUGGAACACCGCUAGUUACUGAUCUCCAUUCUGAAAUGCACCUUUCCACCGCUACUUUAUCGUCUUUGAUGAAGUUAAUUUUAUACCCAUCUAGCCAGCUCACCCCGCAUCCCAUGAGACUCUACCUUGUGUACUAGCCUGCCAUGAGGUACUUUAUUAAAUGCCUUAUGGAUAGGGUGAAUCAUUAAGGUCUUUUCCCCAGGAUAGGGGAGUCCAAAACUAGAGGGCCUAGGUUUAAGGUGAGAGGCGAAAUAUAUAAAAGGGACCUAAGGAGCAACUUUUUCAUGUAGAAGGUGGUGUGUAUAUGGAAUGAACUGCCAGAGGAAGUGGUGGAGGCUGAUACAAUGACAACAUUUCAAAGGCAUCUGGAUGGGUACAUGAAUAGGAAGGGUUUAGAGGGAUAUGGGCCAAAUGCUGGCAAAUAGGACUAGAUUGACUUAGGAUAUCUGGUCGGCAUGGACGAGUUGGAGUGAAGAGUCCUGUUUCCAUGCUGUAUAUCUGUGACUCUAUGUGGACAACAUCCACUGCCCUUCAUUCAUCAAUCGUUUUUGUCACCUCUUCAAAAAAGUUGAUGAGCCAUGACUUCUGCUCUCAAACCCAUGCUGCCUAUCACUAAAAAUCCAUUUGCUUCCAAAUGUGAAUACGUCCUGUUUCUCAGUAUCUUCUCUAACAGCUUCCUCACCGCUAGUAUGUGGGCUGUAAUUACCUGGUUUAUCUGUUUUCCUCCUUAAAGGAACAACAUUAGUAUUCUCCAGUCCUCUGGAACCUUGCCUAAGGCCAAAGAGGAUGCACAGACAUCUGUUAAGGCCCCAUCUAUUCCCUACCUUGCCUCCCACAGUAUCCUGGGAUUAAUCCCAUCUGACCCUGGUGACUUGUCUAUAGUAAUGUACUUUGAGACAUGUACCACUUUUGUCCUUUGUGUUGACCUGCCUGAGAUUACUCGCACCUUUUCCCUAACCUCAGCGUCCCUCACAUCCUGCUCUUGGAAGAUAUCAAUGUAAAGUACUCAUUAAGGAUCUCACCCAUUUCCCCUGGGUCUACACACAACCUCCCUCCUUUACCCUUGAGUGGGCCUAACUCUUUUUCUCCAUGCAACCUCUUGCUCCUAAUACAUGUAUAAAAUGCCUUGGGAUUCUACUUAUCCUUGCUGGCCGAAGACAUACCAUAGCCCCUUUUAGCCCUCCUAACUCACCGUUUGAGCUCCUUCCUAAUUUCUCUGUUUGAAAUAUCAAUGUCACUGUCUAAAUGAACAUUAUGAUUUCGUGCCAUUCCCUUUCCUUUACCCCAUAACUUGCACGUGAAGUAAUCUGCCAAUAGUAUCUCCAGGUGAGUCUUCAAGGGUCAUCAAACAAGCUACAAUAUAGGGUCUUUGGCAUUUGCAUAUUAUAAAGUUGGAAUCUUCAGAAGGAAUUUAGUGCAGACGGAUGUGAUUCGGAGAGGAUGUAGUACGAAGUGAUCUCCAUUAAUGGCCAACAUGCAUGCUGUGUAACCAAACUUUGAUUUAACAUUAGUGGAAUAUACUGUGCAGCUUACUUCUAUAUUACUGUAUGUAACAUUUCAUAUCUCUCUUAGCCUUACAAAGGAUGAGUCCAAAAGGCCAAAGUAUAAAGAGCUUCUGAAACAUCCUUUCAUCUUGAUGUAUGAAGAGCGCAGGGUGGACGUUGCAAGUUAUGUUUGCAGAAUCUUGGAUCAAAUGCCCCCAACCCCUGUUUCCCCAAUGUACGUCGAUUGAUUCUGCUGCUGAAAAGACAGCCUUAAACUGGCUGAAAGAUAUCAAGGUGUAAAGAUUUGUUUUAUGACACAUUGCAGUGUUUCUAUUUUUAACUUGCUCAAACAGACUGUGCAAUAAAAAUUGGUGUUCCAUUUUAUCCAUGUCUGCCCACGAUUGUCCAUUCGAAAAGCAUCCUUCUCAUAGUACCCAAGUCGUCAAGAGAGUUUGUGGAUGUUAUUGCCUUUUCGGGCUAGAUGUAUGGAGGCUGCCAGUGUGUUCAUUUCAGUCUGGAUCUUGGUGGGAUAUUAUGCAGCUGCUGGUGGGAAGAGUUUGAAGCUGGAGACAUUUCGAUACCGUACUGGAAAGACCAAGUCUUGGACUAGCUGUUCCCGCCAUUGCAUAGAAUAUUUUUAGUAGCACCCUCAAGACUCCUAAGUAUCUGCGUUGUCUUCAACAAAAGGGAAUUUGUACACGAACAGGAAACGUUACUCCAGUGCAGUCGCAAACACCUUGAGGAAUUUUGCUUCACAAAGUGCAAUAGAUUUGCUGAUUUUAAUUCUGUUGCUUUAUAGUUAGUGUCUAUCAUGGAGGAAAAGAAAAUCUGUAUUUUACUGUUAAUAAUGUUGAAGAGAUUUUUAAAUAAAGACAUAACUGAACACUAUGUCUUUCACCAAAAAAGUGUGUGGACUGAGAAUUGCAAAGAAAGCAAAAUUGAUACACGAAAGAUUUGCUGCAAAAAGGUAUUUCCCCUGAAACAGAACUUUUAUAUGACUUAAAUGUCAUUCACUGUACAAUAUAUUUGUAACUAUUGGGAAAAUUAGCCUAGGCACCUGAAGAAAGUGUUUUAAUAUUGUCUAUUGAAAUAUACAGAAAAGAAUAGUGAACUAUGGUGUAACUUUGGGCAGAAUGCUCGAAGAGUAAAGCAUGCUGGAAAAAAUAAGCUUGUGUUGAAGCAACGAAUGUUUUCCUGUUUGUUAAUCAGUCUGUAAAUGUGCACAUUGAUGUCUUAGGAUCUUAGACAAAAGCAGGCUAUAUAUGGAUUAUGCAGUAAGCACCUGGCAGUGAUGAUCUUAAAUGUUUCCCACCGACAGCUCAUAUUGUGGUUCAAUGUGCUAUUUUUUACCAGAAAUUAUUUAUGCAAAAAUUAAUGUAUACCUGUGACUGCUGUAAACCUUGAAGUCCUCCAGGUUUACCAGUGGUGUGAUAACACCAAUUGCCUACUAGUUUGGUUUAGUUAUUGGUUGUACUUGUCUACUGAGGAAAAUUGUUUAACGGUAAGAGGAGCAAAUCACCAAGUCAAGAUGUUAGGUGCAGUGUCUUCUGAUUUAAUGCAACGCCGCUGUGACUACCCAGCUCCAGAGGUGCUAAAUGUCUGGAAGAAUUCUGUUGCUUGAGAUAGCUACAGGAUGGUUUUAAUUUUACCUACAUGUGAUCCAGGACUUGUGCUACACAGAGAGAAUUCUUUGUGAGAUUCUAUUUUUCAUACAGUGUCUGUUGAGAGUAUGCUGGUUUUUCGGGGUGCGGGGAGGUGUGAUUGUUUCUUGCAAGUUUUUGUAACAGACAAGUAUAUCCAGUAAGUAUGUCCAUUGUAGACCCAGUAAGUCACUAAAGUUAUAAAAUUAUGCAGAAUUUUUGUUCCUCUUGUCUGCUUUCAUGACUGAACACACAAGCCCAUCUGCCCACCCCACCAAAAAUCCCUUAUGACCCACCACCAGCCUUGCUUGGCAAUUCAUUAAUGUGUUCAAUUCUACUGGUGAAGAAGUGAACUUGAUGUGAAUGUCAAGGGACUUCGAACUUUUUGAGUGGAAUGCCUGUAAAAAUUGGCAGUUUAUUCCUAUAUUAAUCUUAGAUUAUAAUCUAUUAAGGGUGAGGAAUAUAUUACAGUGUAUCUUUAAAAAAAGGUGUAUAAUGGUCACAAACUGUGAAAAUAGAAUAAGAACUGUACAUUGUGAACUUUGGUUAAUUUUUCUUUCCUGUACCAUAGAAAAUGUAUAAAAAAUAUCAAAGCUGAUGUGCAGGGAUAAUGCCUUACUUGUCUGUGAAAAUGGAGCUCGCUGAGUAUCAUCACCAUUGCAUUAUUUUACAGAGCUCAUGGAUAUUUCUUAUCCUGUAUACUGGUUUGACUUCUUCCUAUAUUUAAAACAUUAUAAAUGGAAUCUUAAGUGUUCAUGUAAUAGUUCUAUACUCUUGCCUGCAGGUCAGUUGUAAUAAAACUAGAACGUGACUGUGACCUUGUUCUUGUUUUGUAAGAUCUGAAACACACAAUUGCAAAAAUAAACUCAAUUGAAAUACUGGAAAAA
Long non-coding RNA from Rhincodon typus (whale shark), 5047 nucleotides. RefSeq lists it as uncharacterized. The record is from RefSeq and is a predicted model, not a curated record. The transcript has 2 exons. NCBI's taxonomy places the organism in Eukaryota, Metazoa, Chordata, Chondrichthyes, Orectolobiformes, Rhincodontidae.